This 421-nucleotide ribosomal RNA is filed under the name uncultured Methanolinea sp. RNAcentral describes it as "bacterial SSU rRNA". It matches the Rfam family "Archaeal small subunit ribosomal RNA", at positions 322 to 747 of the family's 1478-position model. Lineage: Archaea; Methanobacteriati; Methanobacteriota; Methanomicrobia; Methanomicrobiales; Methanoregulaceae. The record is from RNAcentral.
CCUAUGGGGGGCAGCAGGCGCGAAAACUUUACAAUGCGAGAAAUCGUGAUAAGGGAACCCCGAGUGCCCGUAAAUUCGGGCUGUCCGCCAGUGUAAAUAACUGGUGAAGAAAGGGCCGGGCAAGACCGGUGCCAGCCGCCGCGGUAAUACCGGCGGCUCGAGUGGUGGCCACUAUUACUGGGCUUAAAGCGUCCGUAGCUGGAUUGUUAAGUCUCUUGGGAAAUCCACCGGCUCAACCGAUGGGCGUUCAGGAGAAACUGGCAAUCUAGGGACCGGGAGAGGUGAGAGGUACUCCAGGGGUAGGAGUGAAAUCCUGUAAUCCUUGGGGGACCACCUGUGGCGAAGGCGUCUCACUAGAACGGCUCCGACAGUGAGGGACGAAAGCUGGGGGAGCAAACCGGAUUAGAUACCCCCGUAGUCC